AAUAGUUUGAUAGUAGAUAAUAUGAGAGUACUAUCUAUCGCGGGCACUCUUAUUUUUUUAGAGAGAAAUAUAGCAUACUGUCCGAUUUGUUUUUUUCUUUUAAUAGCUCUAAAUGUGGAGCAAUUAGGUUUCGAACUUAAAAUCUUGGGUAUCAAGUAUCAACCACUAAAUCCUUUGCCACUUGCGUUAACGAUGAUCAGUUAUCGCCGACACUCUAUUUAGAUUUUAGAUGAGCUUUAGCAUUCUGCGCUAGUAAUUUGAAUCUAACAAAUAAUUUG
This 278-nucleotide long non-coding RNA is filed under the name Ananas comosus (pineapple). RNAcentral describes it as "long non-coding RNA (ACOM_LNC032069)". The record is from RNAcentral. Lineage: Eukaryota; Viridiplantae; Streptophyta; Magnoliopsida; Poales; Bromeliaceae.